GACGAACCGUCCAAACGUUAUUCGGAAUCACUGGGCUUACAGAGUUCGUAGGCGGUCUGGAAAGUUGGGUGUGAAAUCCCUCGGCUCAACCGUGGAACUGCCUCAGAUACUGACGGUCUCGAGGGAGGUAGGGGCGAGCGGAACUGAUGGUGGAGCGGUGAAAUGCGUUGAUAUCAUCAGGAACUCCGGUGGCGAAGGCGGCUCGCUGGACCUUUCUGACGCUGAGGCGCGAAAGCUAGGGGAGCAAAGCGGGG
This 254-nucleotide ribosomal RNA is filed under the name uncultured bacterium. RNAcentral's name for it is "partial 16S ribosomal RNA". It matches the Rfam family "Bacterial small subunit ribosomal RNA", at positions 524 to 778 of the family's 1533-position model. The record is from RNAcentral.